GGUAAUACAUAUAUACACAAGUCUUUCUAUUUCAUUUUUUUGUUAACUAUAAUUUGAAAUUGAGUUAAGUAUAUGAAUACAUGUUUUGUUGUUCAGAUUGUAACGGAGCAUGUGGUGCGAGGUGCCGUUUAUCAUCUCGUCCAAAUCUCUGCAAAAGAGCUUGUGGAACUUGCUGUCAACGUUGCAACUGUGUCCCACCUGGUACUUCUGGAAACCAAGAAAUGUGUCCCUGCUAUGCUAGCUUAACUACUCGCGGUGGCAAACGCAAGUGCCCCUAGACUUCAUCAUGCAUAAAUUUCAUAUUAUUAUAUGAAAUCAUCAUAAAAUAAUGACUUCUUGAGUGAAGCGUGAAAGAAUAAUGAUGUGAAAGAAUAUCAAACACUUUUUUCAAUUCUUGUUGAAUCAUCGAGUCUUGACGACGUUAUGUAUAUUUAGAUACUACAAAAUUAAAAACUAUUGUGAUUUUCUGAUUACUUUCCCUUAAGGUGUACUUGCCUUCUUUGUAAUGUUUAAUCGUUUAUAUCAAUAAGAACUAUUGUUUUGUGCUUUCAUCAUUUUAUCAUAAUAAUUUCAUCUAUUGAUACCAUGUUCUUGUAUGUGACUUUAUAUUUAAUAUUCAACUUUUCAAAUUGUGAUGUUUUUAGUUGGUUAAAUUAUGCAUAACAUAACAUAGAAGGUGUUUUUAAAAAUAAAAAGUUGUUAUUAUAGAACUAUUCAUUAACAUCAUUCAUUUGUACACUUUCAAAACCAUACAAACAUGGAUAGAAUCUUAAAGAAGUAGGGAACACUUCUUACGCAUUUUGAAUAAAAAAUGUUUUAAUUAUGUAUCAUGAAAAACAUAUCACUAUGUUUUUAAAAAAAUUACACACGUGGGUGUAUAUAAUAUGACUAUAAUUUUCUAUUGUAAAUAGAUAAUAACAAAGAUUUGGUGAGAAAGCGUUUGAUUAUUUAUCUAAGUUACAUCUGAUUAUUUUUUUAAUCUGUUCAAUUUGGUAUAUACGUGUAAUCUUGAUUCUUCCAAAUUUGUUAAGCUAAUUUAGUUUUUUUUUUUAAAUUGAGAGAACUUAACAUUUUUUUCAUUAAUUUUUGCUUUUCCUUUUUAGUUUUUAAAAUAUAAUUUUCGAUCCUGACUAUUUUAAUAAAUUGUUUCAAAGGUUUAGAUUUAAUUUGUUUCGCAAAUUUUAUAAAGUCUGAAGAAUCUUAUGAUAUGUAUUAAGGUUAUAACAAGAAUAAUUUUUAUUGGAAUUUGGUUUUUUCCUAGCAUUUUAAUAAAAGGUGAAAUAAUUUAAUCAAUUAAAUUUAUUUGAAUUUUAAUAAAACAUAAUUGUGAGUUUCGAUGAAAAGGAAUUUAGCUUCAUCAUAAAAAUAAAAAUAAAUAAAAAGAAAAAAUGAAAACGAAAGUAAAAUUUGCUUAAAACUAAAAAAAAGGAACAUACGUGACAAAUAGCAAUCGGUGAUGAUGUUGACUGCUGCUGACUCACACAUAAAAGCAACCAAACAAAGUUUUGUUUUUUUCGCAUGGCAAUUACACAUAGAAUAAUUUCGAACACGUAUGAGUAUUUUUUAUAUAUAUAUUAUCAGCUAUUCAUAUUAAUGAUUUUUUAUAUAUAUAUUAUCAGCUAUUUAUAUGAAUAUUUCUUUUAUAUAUGUUAUCAGCUAUUUAUAUGAUUAAAUUAUUUUUAUAUAUACUAAUGUUACGCAUGCACUCUUCAUUCCACGUAUUUCAGGAAAUAAAAAAUAAGAAAGCAAACUGGAACUGUGAGAUAUGUAAAAGUCUUGGUUUUGAUGGGGUAAUGUUAAUUUAAUUAAUAGAAAAAAUAAUAAUUAAAAACUAAUUUAAUAAUUAAUGAUAAAUUAAUAUGAGAAUCAAUAUUAAAAAAAACUUUAAUAAAUUUGCAAAAGUCUAACCAACACUAUGUAGGAUCAACUCCAAUAAAUUAUCAUCAAUAAUAAUUUGUAAUCUAUGCUAUAUAAGGUUAUUUAUUUAUUAAAUAAUAUAAGUUUUUAAUUAUUAGAGAAUUCUGAUGUUUAAUGUGUAUUUUUAUGAUAUUAACAUUUUAAAAUAUCUUAUAUGUUAAAAUAUCUCUAGCCACACUUUUUUUUUCUUCUAUAAUUUUUGCAAAAUCACAGUUUUUUUUACUCAUAAAUGACUAACAUAUUAUCCUCCAUAUACCUUAUUUUUUAACAUUUUGAGUCAUUCCAUCACCAAAAGUUCUUGUGCAUGUUGUUGAUGCUACUAUAUUAGUUGUUUAUAUAACUACAUUGAUAUAUAAAAGGUAAUGUUAGUGGUUCUGUUAUUCAAUAAAAGAAAAAAUUCUGACUAAUUUUUUCGGGAUCAUUAUCUUAAUACUAUUUUUCUCAUCUCAAUAAUAUUUAAAAAUAGUUAUAUAUUAAUUUUAUAUAUUUUAAAGUAAAUAAGAUAUAUAAGUGUAUAAAAAUAUUUAAUUUAAAAUUUUAUUAUCAUGAAAAUUAACAUUUAAAAUCAGUAUUUGCUAACAUUUAAAAGAUGAUAUUAUUUAAUAAAUAACAUUAGAUAAUGGAUUACAAAUUGAUUGGUAUUUAUGAUAUUUUAUUAGAGUUGAUUUUUAAAAAUUAUUAGAGUUAGACGGAUGCUGAUAAUUAAAGUUGAUUUUUAAAUAUUGACUCUCAUAUUAAUUCAUCAUUAAUUAUUAUAUUUUUUUUAUAUCAAUUAAAUUAAUACUAAACCAAAUUUAAAUAUAAAUAUAAAUUUAAUAUUAAUUUAAUUUGUAUUAUUUGGUUAAUGCUAAUAAUAAUAAUAAUUUUGUUUUCAAUAAAAAAAAUACAAAUUAACAAUUAUUGUCAUCAUUAUAGUACUCACCCCCUACUCUUCAUAUAUCACACAACUAUAAAUACCCCUCACCAUGCUUCUCAUUCCAAUAACAAUACACAUACGCAUCUCCAUCUAAACUCCACAAUUUAGCCAUGGCUCUUUCUAAGCUCAUAGUUGCUUCCCUUCUUGCGUCGCUUCUCCUGCUUCAUCUCGUUGAUGCUCAUCAAUCGGUAUAAAAAGAUUCAAAUACAUUGUUUGUUUUGUUUUCUUUCUUUAUGGAUCAUAUCAUAUAACAAUAUGAAGCAAAGUUAGAUUGAUUUUCUUGAGUUGUUUCAACUAGGGUUAACUAACCAAUUUAUGCAUGGUUUUGGGGGAACCGCAGGUGCAAGAACAAACGCAGGGUUCUCUUUUUCAACAGAUAGGUAAUACAUAUAUACACUUUUUUUAUGAACUAAUAAUUUGAAAUUGAGUUAAGUAUAAUGAAUACAUGUUUUGAUUGUUCAGACUGUAACCAAGCGUGUGGUGUGAGAUGUCAUUUAUCAUCUCAUCCAAAUCUAUGCAAAAGAGCUUGUGGAACUUGUUGUCAACGUUGCAACUGCGUCCCACCUGGUACUUCUGGAAACCAAGAAAUGUGUCCCUGCUAUGCUAGGUUAACUACUCAUGAUGGCAAACGCAAGUGUCCUUAGACUACAUCAUGCAUAAAUUUCAUAUUAUAUAUAUAACGUGUUCUUGAGUGAAUUAAUAAUAAUAAUAAUAAUAUUGAAUCCAUUUUUUCAAUUAUUGUUGGAUCAUCGAGUAUUCACUACGUGAUUAUGUGUAUUUAGAUACCACAAAACUAAGAACUACGUAGUGAAUUUCAGAUUACUUUUCCUUUAUAAGGUGUAUUUGUCUGUCUUGUAAUGUUCUAUCGUUAUAUUAAUGAGAAUUAUUAUUUCAUACUUUCAUCAUUUUAUCCUAUGAUACCAUCUUCUAGUGUUUGAUUUUGUACUUAAUAUUUAUUUUUUCAAAUUAUGUUGUUUUUAGUUGGCUAAAUUCAACAAGAAGAAGUAGUCUUUAAAAAUAAAAAGUUAUUAUGAUAGAGUUCUUCAAAAUUCAUUUCCAUACUCUCGAAACCAAACAAACAUGGAUCAAAUCUUAAAGGAAUAGACGAAUAUUUCUUACACGUUUAAAAAUUAUUUUAAUUAUAUAUCAUUAAAAAUUAAAAAUAUAUCACUAAUUGUUUUUAAAACAAAUACACACAUGUGUAUAUAUUAUGACUAUAUUUUUUUAUUGUAAAUAGAUAAUAAAAAUAACAAAGAUUAGUUGAAUAACACAUCUUUCCCUUAAAGUGGAAGCGAACAAAGGUAUACGAGGACAAUUUUUUUAUAAAUAUUUUUAAAUAUAAAAUUAGCUUUCUUUUAUAAUAAUAAAAAUGAUUAUUUUAUAUGAUUUAUCAAAUUUUUAAUUUAUGCAUAAAUUAAAUUUAUUUUAAGAUUUUUUUCUGUCAUUUAAAACUAUUAUAAAGAAGUAUAUUCUAACUUCCUAAACUUUUCAAUUAUUGUUGGAUUAUCAAGUCUUCACUUCAAGAUUAUGUGUAUUUAGAUAAUACAAACUACAAAAUUAAGAACUACGUUGUGAAUUUUUUAUUACUUUUUCUUUAUACGGCUUUUCCUUUCUAAGGUGUAUCUUAGUAGUGUUUCAUCGUUAUAUCAAUGAGAAUUAUUAUUUUAUAUUUUAAUCAUUUUAUUCAUAAUAAUUUUCUCUAUAAUACCAUGUUUGAUUUUGUAUUUAAUAUUUAUUUUUUCACAAGUAUGUUGUUUUUACCCGCCAAGUUCAGCAUAGUAGAAUGAGUCUUUAAAAAUAAAAAGAAUAAAAAGUUAUGACAGAGUUCUUCAUUCACUAACGUAAUUAAUUUUCACACUUUCAAAACCAAAUAAACACAUGGAUCAAAUUUUAAAGGAGUAGACAAAUAUUUCUUACAUGUUUGAAUAAAAUUAUUCUAAUUAUAUAUCAUUAAAAAUUAAAAAUAUAUAACUAUUUAAAAAUAAAUAAAUUACACACGUGUGUAUGUAUUAUGAUUAUAAUUUUUAUUAUGAUUAUAAUAAAAAUAACAAAGAUUUGUUGAUAAAAUGUUGGAUUAUUUUCCCAAGGUAAAUCUGAUUAAUUUUUUUAGUCUGUUCAAUUUAAUAAAAAAAAUAAUUGUGAGUCUCGAUGAAGACCAAUUUAGUUUCAUCUGAAAAAUAAAAAAAUAAAAACUAAAAUUAAAAACAAAAGUAAAACACAACCAAACGAGGUUUUUUUUUCAUGACAAUUAUACAUGGAAUAAUUCCGAACACAUAUGACGAAUUUUUUUAUAUAUUAUCAACUAUUUCUAUGAAUAAUUAUAUAUAUAUAUAUUAUUAGCUAUUUAUAUGAUUAUAUUUUUUUAUAUACUAUCAGCUAUUUAUAUGACUAAAUUAAUUUAUAAAAAAUAAUGUUUCUUAUCUUUCAUUAGUUUUGUUAAAAUUUCUGUCUAACUUUUUGGAUCUUCUGUCCCAAUAUUAUUUUUCUCUUCUCAAUUAUAUUUAAAAAUAAUUAUAUAUAAUUUUUAUACAUAUUAGAGCAAAUAAAAUAUAUAAGUACAUAAGAGCUGAUAAGAAACAUCAUAAAAAAACUGAUAUUACUUAAUAAAUAAAUAACGUUUAACAAGCAUAGAUUACAAAUUAUUAUGGAUGAUAAUUUAUUGGAGUUGAUUUUUAAAUAAUAACUCUCAUAUUAAUUUAUCAUUAAUUAUUAACUUAAUUUUUAAUUAAAAAGUUUUGUAUCAAUUAAAUUAACAUUAAAUCAAAUAUUAAUUUCAUUUAUUAAUGUAUAAUAUGCUUUGAUAUUGUUGGGAGCAGUAAUUAAUGAGGUGUUAUGCUAUGAUAAAUGAAUUGAAAAAUCUAAUAUGGUAAAAAAUGAGGUAUUAAAGUUAUACUCAAAUAGGAGGUUAACAAUUCACGAUUUAGGAGUUGGAUAAUAUUGCUUUUCAAAAUGUUUUGAAUUUUUCCUUUUGAGGAAAUAGAAAAUAAGGAAGAAAUCUGGGACUGUGAAAGAUGUAAAAAUUAAUUAAUUAAAUUAAAAAUUAAUUUAAUAAUUAAUGAUAAAUUAAUAUGAAAAUCAAUAUUUAAAAAUCAACUUUAAUAAAUUAGGAUAAGUCUAACAAACCAUGUAGAACUUUUAAAAAUCAACUCUAAUAAAUUAUCAUCAAUAAUAAUUUGUAAUCUAAGGGCAUAUAACGUUAUUUAUUGUUUUUUAUUUAUUAAAUAAUAUCAGUUUUUAAUAACUAGAGAAUACUGAUGUUAAAUGUAUAUUUUUGUGAUAUUAACAUUUUAAAAUAUUUUAUAUGUUAAAAUAUUUGCAACCACACUUUGUUUUUUUAUAUAAUUUUUGCAAAACCAAAGUUUUUUUAAUCAUAAAUGAGCAACAUAUUAUCUUUCAUAUACCUAAUUUUUAACAAUCUAAGUCCUUCCAUCCCCAAAAGUUCUUGUACAUGUUGUUGAUGUUACUAUAUUAGUUGUUUAUAUAAAUACAUUGAUAUAUAAACAAUAAUGUUUCUUAUCUUUCACCAAGUUUUGUCAAAAAUUCUGACUAGCUUUUCCGGAAUCAUUAUCCCAAUAUUAUUUUUCUCAUCUCAAUAAUAUUUUUUAAAAAAAGUAUAUAUGGAUUUUAUAUAUUUUAAAGUAAAUAAGAUAUAUAAGUGUUUAAAAAUAUUUAAUUUAAAAUUUUAUUAUCAUGAAAAUUAACAUUUAAAAUUAGUAUUUGCUGACAUUUAAAAGCUGGUAUUAUUUAAUAAAUAAAUAGCAUAACAUUAUAUACAAUGGAUUGCAAAUUGAUUGUUAUUGAUAAUAUUUUACUAGAGUUGAUUUUUAACAAAUUAUAAGAGUUAGACGGAUGUUGAUUAUUAUGGUUGAUAUCUAAAUAUUGGUUCUCGUAUUAAUUCAUCAUUAAUUAUUAAAUGAUUUUUUUUAUAUCAAUUAAAUUAACAUUAAAUCAAAUGUAAAGAUAAAGUUAACAUAAAUUUAAUUUGUAUUAUUUGGUUAAUGUUAAUAAUAAUAAUAAUAAUUUUGUCUUCAAUAAAAAAUUUAACAAUUAUUGUCUUUAUACCUCACACAACUAUAAAUACCCCCUCUUCAUGCUUCUCAUUUCAAUAACAAUACACAUACACAUCUUCAAUUAAACUCCAUAGUUAAUUACCUUUAGUCAUGGCUCUUUCUAAGUUCAUACUUGCUUCCCUUGUUGUCUCGUUUCUCGUGCUUCAUCUUGUUGAUGCUCAUCAAUCGGUAUAAAAGAUUCAAAUACUUUGCUUGUUUUGUUUUCUUUCUUUAUUGAUCAUAUCAUAUAACAAUAUGAACCAAAGUUAGGUUGAUUUUCUUGAGUUGUUUCAACUAGGGUUAACUAACCAAUUUAUGCAUGAUUUUGGGGGAACCGUAGGUGCAAGAACAAAUGCAAGGUUCUCUUUUUCAGCAGAUAGGUAAUACAUAUAUACACAUUUUUUUAUGAACUAAUAAUUUGAAAUUGAGUUAAGUAUAAUGAAUACAUGUUUUGAUAUUCAGACUGUAACCAAGCAUGUGGUGUGAGGUGUCAUUUAUCAUCUCAUCCAAAUCUAUGCGAAAGAGCUUGUGGAACUUGUUGUCAACGCUGCAACUGCGUCCCACCUGGUACUUCUGGAAACCAAGAAAUGUGUCCCUGCUAUGCUAG
This 7489-nucleotide long non-coding RNA is filed under the name Phaseolus vulgaris (common bean). Its description in RNAcentral is "long non-coding RNA (PVUL_LNC004787)". The record is from RNAcentral. Lineage: Eukaryota; Viridiplantae; Streptophyta; Magnoliopsida; Fabales; Fabaceae.